GGCGGGUGUGGUGGGUAUCUCUAGUACAUUGAACGAAAGACUCGGCAGAUCUAAAUUGCUUCUUGUCUCUAUCUUCUCUUCUCUGUCUCUUUCGUCUUCUCUACAUCCGGCUGAGUCUGGCUACCAUCUGUUGAAAACAACAUUAAUCAUAUAGUUCUGAAUGAGCUUCAUCAUAUAGAAGGCUGGUUCUCGCCAAUCUCAGUCGGAUCGUCCUCUCUUUCGUACUGUGUGAUUGGUUCUUCAUUUCUCCUUGCAGUACUCCUCGAUCUGAAAGUGUAGUUUUAGAUCGGUCGCAAUUUGUUUCAUUCCUCGAUUUUUCUGUUCGGCAAUAUUCUGGAAACCCGAGUACGAAUCGAAACGGAAGGAUCUCUGUUGCUUUAAAUCACCUGUUCGAACUAAAAAGAGCAACUCAAACAUCGAAUGAAAUCUACCAGAUAAGUUAUUUUUUUGCCAGGUAUCUAAUGUGUAUAAAUCUGUGUUAAUUUGUGAAAUUCAAAUGUUUAAUUUUACUCAUUUAUUAUUGUUUGUGUGAUUUACAUUUUUUUAGACUUCUGAUUGAAAUCUUCAUAUACAUAUCGAAAGGACAAAUCACCAUACAAAGGGGCAAAAUAGCUAAGUUUUGAUUUUAGGUUAUUUUUUAUCUUACUUUUUUUACAUUAUUCCAGACUAAUUCCUGAGGCAUAAAGGUAGCAAUCUAGCAAUUGAUUUUCAGUUUGAACAUGCUCAUGAAGAUCCAUAGAAAUAGGUAGCUUAAAAAAUGUUUAGUGCUGAUUUUUCUUUUUCCACCAAUAACUGUUGAUGAAGUAAUCUUCCGCAUGUCUUUAAGCAGAAUUCUGUUUGUAAGGACUGUACAGAAUUUUUAAUGGUAAAACAACCAAAUGUUAUUUGCAUUGUUAGCAUAUGUGAAUACUGAUUGGGCCUUAAAGGGCUGUCAUGAAUACUCUUUUUGGGAAGAAUAAAAGACUUGUUAUCUCAUUCUGCUUUGAAAACACAAAUUUGUCUUUAUAAGCCUAAUAUGAUUAUUACUUUACUGUCUAGAUUGACUAACAUUUUGAAAUCCAAGAAAUGGCAAGUGAUGAAUCAAAUGAGUUCUGAUGCCCAGAUAUGUAUCAAUACAACUGAUUGGUGUUGGAGUGUUAAACAUGGCAUUAACAACCGAAAUAUUUGCCACUGUUUCCUUCCAAUGGUGGUGUAAAGUAACAGUUUGUGUACAAACUUAUUUUGUGAUGCAUAAUAUAAUAGUGUUUCAUGCUUAUAAUUUCAUUUAAUUAUGCAAAACAUUUGCCAAGCAAGGGAUUUUUAAUAUAAUAGUGUUGCCUGUUAAGCAGAUUUGAUUAACUUAGGAUUUAAAUUUCUGUUAAGCAGAUUUGAUUAACUUGAAAAACAGAUGGUCAUAGUGGAAAAUUACAGAUGGGAAAAGCUGGUCAUUUGAUGGACCACAGCAGAUUGGAUAAUUAAAAACAUUUGGUUAUUUUGGAAGAUUGCAGAUUUGGAAAAGGUAAAUUUCAAUUGUUUAUAUUAUCCCUAGACAUUUGCAUUGAUGAUUUUACAGCCUAGAUUUGUCCAUCCUAGCUAAAAUUAAUAACAGAAAAUCAGUAGGUUUAUAUGGCCAAUUUCUAAAUAGAUAAAACUAGAAUACCAAAUUAAUGUUCGAAUAAUUGAGUAAUUACAUCUACAUACAAUAUUAAUGUUUGAAUAAUGAAAUGACCAAUACUAAACUAUUUGACUAAUUAUACAUGAUCUUCCUUAGUAACCACAACCGUAAUACCUCAAUGUAGUUUAAUUCCUGCAAUCCAAUAAAAGUCAAUUUGAACUGCAUUUUGAGAGUCCUCUUCACAGUUAGUGAACUGGGUUCCAAUAAAAUAACCUCAUUCUAUUGAAACAGUAAUAGCAACAUCAACACCAAAAAACAACUUAAAAAAUAUCCAAGAAUAUAGAAUGACCAAUAGAGAAUAUAUAAGUACUAUUAGCACUGCAUACACUUUACCUGCUCUAGUAUUUGUUGUUCUGCCUUCUUCACUAUUCUGUUUCCUGACUAUUGCAUACAAAAUGAAUAGUGGAGCCAUUUGAAGAUUUUCAAAAUCAGAAAAUUAGAAAGAAAAUUGGAUCAAACCUAACUUCAAAGGGAGAAUGGUGGUAGAGAAUGAAUUGAAGAUGUCGUACCAAGUAUUUAUAGAGCCAAGUUUAGAAGGCUAAAAUCUACCCAACUUUACGCAUGUUUGUAUUUGUAUUUAGAAGGAAUGAAAUAGAAGGAUUAAAAUAGGUUUAAAAUUACCUGGACUGAGGUACUCGGACUGAGGCAGACCUUAAUGAAGAGCAGCGACCAAACAAAGAAAGAACAAACACGUAGAGGGGAGCCAUUUUCAGGCGGAGUAGAUGGCAAAUAAAGAACAAACACGCAGACCUUAAUUCGCAAAAUGGCUGGUUAGUAGCCAUAAUUUAUAGAACAGAGUUAAGCUGAAGAGUUCAAAUCAGAUUUGGAGGAUUUAGAAUUCCAAGAAAACUCAACAAUUACUGAAGAGCAAUUAUGGGUUUGCACCGGAAAAUGAAACGUCAAAAUAGAAAAGCUGCAAAGUGUUUUGAAUUCAUCUCUAUUGAUAUGUAUUUAUUUAAUCUGAGUUUCGAUUUUGAUAUGUAUUCGCAAUAGUGUAUGUAUAAAAUCAUUUAAUGCAAACGGUGGCCUUCAACUU
Long non-coding RNA from Ipomoea nil (Japanese morning glory), 2690 nucleotides. RefSeq lists it as uncharacterized. NCBI's taxonomy places the organism in Eukaryota, Viridiplantae, Streptophyta, Magnoliopsida, Solanales, Convolvulaceae. The record is from RefSeq and is a predicted model, not a curated record. The transcript is spliced from 3 exons.